CGGCGACCUCCAAUGGGGGAGAGCGGGGGCCGCUCGCGGGGCUCCGCGCUGCCCGCUCCGCGGAGCUCGGCGGCGGCUCGGCGGGGAGAAGGCGGCCGGAGGAGAGGACGGGAGCCGGGUGUCCGAGGAACCGGGUGUGGACGCCUUGUGCGAGCCCAAGGUGAGCGAGGUUCCUCACGAACAAAAAACCUAGCAAAUAUCAGCCUGUCGCUUAAUCUGCAAGAAGGAAUGAUACACGAAAGGCUGUGAAAAGCGAAGAAAUUUAGUGUUAUUUUCUCCGUGGCAGGGUGAGAUGGAUCACACCAUCACGGACGCAGUAUUGCGAAAGGAGCUAGCAUGGAAAAUAUCAUCGUGUAACUGAGCCAAAACACUUUUCCCCCAUCGCAACACGCCGGGGAGAAAUGAAUGUAUGUGUACCGGAUAGUUUCUGUACUAACUGGCUCAGGUGAUAGGACCUCUCACUUUCAAAAAAGAAAGGAAAUAUUAAUAGUAUUAGUAAUA
Molecule: long non-coding RNA, 501 nt
Organism: Cygnus olor (mute swan)
Lineage: Eukaryota; Metazoa; Chordata; Aves; Anseriformes; Anatidae
Exons: 3
Source: RefSeq, a predicted model, not a curated record